This 253-nucleotide ribosomal RNA is filed under the name uncultured bacterium. RNAcentral describes it as "partial 16S ribosomal RNA". It matches the Rfam family "Bacterial small subunit ribosomal RNA", at positions 524 to 776 of the family's 1533-position model. The record is from RNAcentral.
UACAGAGGGGGCAAGCGUUAUUCGAAAUUAUUGGGCGUAAAGGGCGCGUAGGCGGCCUGGCAAGUGGAAGGUGAAAUCCCUCGGCUUAACCGAGGAACUGCCCUCCAAACUGCUUGGCUUGAGUCCGGGAGAGGUGAGUGGAAUUCCCAGUGUAGCGGUGAAAUGCGUAGAUAUUGGGAGGAACACCAGUGGCGAAGGCGGCUCACUGGACCGGAACUGACGCUGAGGCGCGAAAGCGUGGGGAGCAAACGGG